RNAcentral lists this microRNA precursor (206 nucleotides) under Oryza brachyantha (malo sina). Its description in RNAcentral is "MIR812 microRNA precursor family". It matches the Rfam family "MIR812 microRNA precursor family". Lineage: Eukaryota; Viridiplantae; Streptophyta; Magnoliopsida; Poales; Poaceae. The record is from Rfam by way of RNAcentral.
AAUAACCUUAUUUUUCGUUUUUCCGUGUCCAACAGUUGACCAUUUGUUUUAUUUAAAAAUUUUUUACGUUUAAUUCUUUUAUUAUUACUAGAUGAUAAAAUAUGAAUAAUACUUUAUACAUGACUAAUUUUUUUAAGUUUUUUAUAAAUUUUUUAAAUAAAAUAAAUAGUUAAAUGUUAGAGAGAAAAAAAAUGAAUUUAUUAAGG